Molecule: long non-coding RNA, 374 nt
Filed under: Lathyrus oleraceus (garden pea)
Lineage: Eukaryota; Viridiplantae; Streptophyta; Magnoliopsida; Fabales; Fabaceae
Description: Pisum sativum (pea) long non-coding RNA (PSAT_LNC027114)
Source: RNAcentral
CUUUCCCACCCUGUCAUUCACGAAAAAGGAGGAAAGAAAAGGAGAAGCGUACACGUUUCCCUCAUCGGUCCUCUCUUAUAAUCACCUACCAAAAACUUCUUCUUUACACACACAAAUUCCCACUCCUUCUCUUCUUCACACCACGAUCCCGCCGACGACUGCGAACACAAAUCGGAAAACCCUUUCGUCAACAACCUCAACACCGUCAACCGCCGCACACUUCACGGCCGCUCAAACCCUCUCCGUAUUCCGGCGACCACCACAAAACCCUCCACCGCAUCGACACAACCUUCACCAAAGUGCCUUCCGUCUUCCGAACCACCGACCAAAUUCCAUCCAUUGCCGGUGAAAUCGUCCGCCGCCGCGACACACAU